UAAUGACAAAGUUAAGUUGUUGUCUGCUGCUAGGCAAAGAGUCAGUCUUAAGUACAAGGAUUUUAAAUUUUCGUUUUCUUCAGACUUCUAUGUAAAUUUAAGCAAGAAGAGAGCAGCAUUUAAUGACAUCAAAUGAACAUUCAGGGGAUCAAAUAUUAAAUACAGCCUCAAAUAUCCUGCAACCUUCAUAAUGAAGUUGACAAACUCUGGGAAAUACUACAGUAUCCAUUGGAUACUUGGCAAGCACUUUACAGGAAUUGAUCUCACACAGGAUAACAGCAUGAUCCUCUAAUAAAGGAAAAGACAAUGGAGAGUAUAUGCCCUGAAGAAAAGGAACUGUGAUUGGAAAACCAGGCAACUCAGCUCCAGUUGUGGUACUUCAUUGAGGUACAAGUAUAUGAAGCAUCCUGGAGUGAUCAGCACUAUGUGAUUUGGAAAUAUUCCUCAACGAGCCUGAAUUAGGCAGAGAUCUGAUCUCAAUUUAUAGACAGAAAACUGAUUCAUCUCUGGAGAUAAGGCCAUGAGAGAAUCAGACACAACGGAUGGUGACUGAAAAAUGUUGCUGUAGAUAAAGAAAAAUCCUUUCCAGGACGGCUGUGCUGGUUUAUGCUGAUUUUCUCAGUAGACUGCUGCAAGGGACAACCAGUGGAAUGGGACUUCGGUGAUGAGAAACAGGAACAGAAAUAAAGAAGAAACGUCAGUA
Mauremys reevesii (Reeves's turtle) is the source of this 703-nucleotide long non-coding RNA. RefSeq lists it as uncharacterized. The record is from RefSeq and is a predicted model, not a curated record. Lineage: Eukaryota; Metazoa; Chordata; Testudines; Geoemydidae. The transcript is spliced from 3 exons.